ACUAGCAGUAAGAGUUUGAUCAUGGCUCAGAUUGAACGCUGGCGGCGUGCCUAACACAUGCAAGUCGAACGGAUCCUUCGGGAUUAGUGGCGGACGGGUGAGUAACACGUGGGAACGUGCCUUUUGGUUCGGAAUAACUCAGGGAAACCUGUGCUAAUACCGGAUGUGCCCUUCGGGGGAAAGAUUUAUCGCCAUUAGAGCGGCCCGCGUCUGAUUAGCUAGUUGGUGAGGUAAAGGCUCACCAAGGCGACGAUCAGUAGCUGGUCUGAGAGGAUGAUCAGCCACACUGGGACUGAGACACGGCCCAGACUCCUACGGGAGGCAGCAGUGGGGAAUAUUGGACAAUGGGCGCAAGCCUGAUCCAGCCAUGCCGCGUGAGUGAAGAAGGCCCUAGGGUUGUAAAGCUCUUUCAGCGGGGACGAUAAUGACGGUACCCGCAGAAGAAGCCCCGGCUAACUUCGUGCCAGCAGCCGCGGUAAUAC
This 482-nucleotide ribosomal RNA is filed under the name uncultured bacterium. RNAcentral describes it as "bacterial SSU rRNA". It matches the Rfam family "Bacterial small subunit ribosomal RNA", at positions 1 to 526 of the family's 1533-position model. The record is from RNAcentral.